AGGAGUGGGUGAGCGGCUCACGGCUUCGUGCUGAGGAAACUCCUCCCUCAUUCCCGGACCAGGUGUGUAAAAACUGGGGCGAGAGUCCCAAAUGGGGCGCAGAAACGACACAGCCCGUGACGAGGAUGAUUUCCUCGGGAAUGACGUUGUUACGGGAUUUGAUGAAACGGCCCCAUCCUGGAGCAAGUCCAAAUACCGGGAUCGGUUGUCCGGGACCGCUCGGAGGUAGGACGCAUAGGUGAAUGCCGCAUAAAACAGAAGGAGGGUUACUGCCCACACCU
RNAcentral lists this RNase P RNA (281 nucleotides) under Thermoplasmata archaeon. RNAcentral describes it as "RNase P RNA component". It matches the Rfam family "Archaeal RNase P". Rfam says of the family: Ribonuclease P (RNase P) is a ubiquitous endoribonuclease, found in archaea, bacteria and eukarya as well as chloroplasts and mitochondria. Its best characterised activity is the generation of mature 5'-ends of tRNAs by cleaving the 5'-leader elements of precursor-tRNAs. The record is from RNAcentral. Lineage: Archaea; Methanobacteriati; Thermoplasmatota; Thermoplasmata.